GACGAACGCUGGCGGCGUGCUUAACACAUGCAAGUCGAACGGAAAGGCCCUGCUUUUGUGGGGUGCUCGAGUGGCGAACGGGUGAGUAACACGUGAGUAACCUGCCCUUGACUUUGGGAUAACUUCAGGAAACUGGGGCUAAUACCGGAUAGGAGCUCCUGCUGCAUGGUGGGGGUUGGAAAGUUUCGGCGGUUGGGGAUGGACUCGCGGCUUAUCAGCUUGUUGGUGGGGUAGUGGCUUACCAAGGCUUUGACGGGUAGCCGGCCUGAGAGGGUGACCGGCCACAUUGGGACUGAGAUACGGCCCAGACUCCUACGGGAGGCAGCAGUGGGGAAUAUUGCACAAUGGGCGGAAGCCUGAUGCAGCAACGCCGCGUGCGGGAUGACGGCCUUCGGGUUGUAAACCGCUUUCGCCUGUGACGAAGCGUGAGUGACGGUAAUGGGUAAAGAAGCACCGGCUAACUACGUGCCAGCAGCCGCGGUGAUACGUAGGGUGCGAGCGUUGUCCGGAUUUAUUGGGCGUAAAGGGCUCGUAGGUGGUUGAUCGCGUCGGAAGUGUAAUCUUGGGGCUUAACCCUGAGCGUGCUUUCGAUACGGGUUGACUUGAGGAAGGUAGGGGAGAAUGGAAUUCCUGGUGGAGCGGUGGAAUGCGCAGAUAUCAGGAGGAACACCAGUGGCGAAGGCGGUUCUCUGGGCCUUUCCUGACGCUGAGGAGCGAAAGCGUGGGGAGCGAACAGGCUUAGAUACCCUGGUAGUCCACGCUGUAAACGGUGGGUACUAGGUGUGGGGUCCAUUCCACGGGUUCCGUGCCGUAGCUAACGCUUUAAGUACCCCGCCUGGGGAGUACGGCCGCAAGGCUAAAACUCAAAGGAAUUGACGGGGCCCCGCACAAGCGGCGGAGCAUGCGGAUUAAUUCGAUGCAACGCGUAGAACCUUACCUGGGUUUGACAUGGAUCGGGAGCGCUCAGAGAUGGGUGUGCCUCUUUUGGGGUCGGUUCACAGGUGGUGCAUGGCUGUCGUCAGCUCGUGUCGUGAGAUGUUGGGUUAAGUCCCGCAACGAGCGCAACCCUUGUUCACUGUCGCCAGCACGUUAUGGUGGGGACUCAGUGGAGACCGCCGGGGUCAACUCGGAGGAAGGUGGGGAUGACGUCAAGUCAUCAUGCCCCUUAUGUCCAGGGCUUCACGCAUGCUACAAUGGCUGGUACAGAGAGUGGCGAGCCUGUGAGGGUGAGCGAAUCUCGGAAAGCCGGUCUCAGUUCGGAUUGGGGUCUGCAACUCGACCUCAUGAAGUCGGAGUCGCUAGUAAUCGCAGAUCAGCAACGCUGCGGUGAAUACGUUCCCGGGGCU
This 1346-nucleotide ribosomal RNA is filed under the name uncultured bacterium. RNAcentral's name for it is "bacterial SSU rRNA". It matches the Rfam family "Bacterial small subunit ribosomal RNA", at positions 28 to 1381 of the family's 1533-position model. The record is from RNAcentral.